GCCGGCGACGCUUUAGCAUGCGGGGAGCUGCGAGACACACGCUCCCGGGCGGGCGAGUGAGGCGGGACGGUUCGCGGGCUCGUUGACACUGCAGAGCCGCCCGCAGCAGCACCGCCGCCUACCGACUAUUUGUUUUUUCCUCGGAUCGCCUGUCAAACGCCACACCUAGCAGCCUCAGCGAUUUCUGGCGGAGCCGCGGAGGGGACCCCGUGGCACUGGAGGCAGCUCAACCCUGCCGAGCCUCGGAAAGUCUCCUGGGUGGGAGAGCUCCUGCACCUCCGGCUCACUUUUCCCCUGUUUACUUAAGUUUCCAAAACUAAAACAAGUCACCGGCUACCCUGAUGUAGGGCAUCUUCUGAAUACAGUGCUAACAGUCCAGGUGCUGGAUUCUGCAAGGAAGAGAAAACAUGUAAGGGCAAAGGAAAAAUAAUUUGAAAAGAGCAGUUGUCUGAGAUGACUCCUUUGGCUGCAGAAGUUCCAGAGUAAUAAAUGAUGAGAGGGCUGUGUUAUACAGCAGAGAGUCUUUCUGACCA
Erinaceus europaeus (western European hedgehog) is the source of this 533-nucleotide long non-coding RNA. RefSeq lists it as uncharacterized. The transcript has 2 exons. The record is from RefSeq and is a predicted model, not a curated record. NCBI's taxonomy places the organism in Eukaryota, Metazoa, Chordata, Mammalia, Eulipotyphla, Erinaceidae.